AUCCCCUUGGAAGAAGCACAAAAUCACUUUAAAGUUAUUACAGUUAAUGAUACUGGAGCAGGAAAACACUGGAGUGACAAUGAAGUCAGAGCUCUGAUAAAUAUAUGGUCAGAUGAAAAGAUACAGCAAAUGCUUGAAGGGGCAACAAGAAAUAAAGAAAUAUUUGAGGAAAUUGCCAGACGGUUAAUGAAAUGUGGAAUAGACAGAGACUGGAAACAAUGUCGCACGAAGUACAAGAACCUAAAAUAUGAAUAUCGUGCACUGCAGAAAGAAAAUGAACAUCUUGGUAAUCCCAGGAGAAAAAUGAGAUUUUACGAUGAAGUUGACUGUAUCUUAAGAAGACAGCCUCUUGGUCCAUCAGGCUGGGGAUGUGAAAGUUCAAGCCUCCUAUCAGUUUCAGUGGGAGAUGUUACAGCAAACACAGGAUCCUUGGGUAUCAAGAGAAAAACAUGGAAUGAUGAGAUGUCACCCAUUCCACUUAAGAAAAGUGCUUCUGAAAACACCAUAUUCCAGUUUCAAAAACUAUUAACAGAGAGAGUGAACACAGUAACAGAAGGCAAAAAGUUACUGUUAGAAAGGCUUUGUAAGCAGGAAGAAAUGCAAGACCUCAACAGAACACAGCUGUAUGCACAUCCAUCAGCCAUGCAACAGGUUGGUUUAAUGAACUUUCUACCAAAUUAGCAUGCAAAAAGAUUCUCUCAGAUGCU
This 707-nucleotide long non-coding RNA is filed under the name Gallus gallus (chicken). Its description in RNAcentral is "long non-coding RNA NONGGAT007169". The record is from RNAcentral. Lineage: Eukaryota; Metazoa; Chordata; Aves; Galliformes; Phasianidae.